RNAcentral lists this long non-coding RNA (1379 nucleotides) under Homo sapiens (human). RNAcentral describes it as "HSALNT0198319". Lineage: Eukaryota; Metazoa; Chordata; Mammalia; Primates; Hominidae. The record is from RNAcentral.
AGAUAAGGGAAUAAAAGCAGGGUGCCGGCCCUUGCGCCAAGAACCUGCUCGGGGGUCGUAUCCCAAGAUGUGGAGCGUUUGUUCUUUGGCUGUUUGCUAUAAAUCUAGUUGUUGCUGACUUUGGGUUCACUGCGUUGUGAAUUGUAACACUUACCGCGAAGGUCUGCCGCUUCGCUCCUGAAGCCGGCGAGACCACGAACCCACUGGGAGUAACAAAAGGGCGGGAGGAACAAACAAACUCUGGACACAUGAUUUCUAAGUAUUGUAACACUCACCGUGAGGGUCCGCGGCUUCAUUCUUUUAAGUCAGUGAGCCCAAGCAACCACCAAUUCCGGACACAAUAGGAGGUAAUUUUCUGAGCCCGCCUGGACUCACAGCCUCAUCUCAAAAUGUGGAGUUCGUUGCUCGACGUAAGGCUCUAAAUCUGGUCUGAUUGCUGAGAUGCUGCUUCCUCCAAGACGGAACCAUCAUGAAUCCAAACUGGGGGGUUCUUGUUUGGCAGAGCCGAAGGCCAUGUCUGUCCUGCAUUUCCAGUUCCAAGCAGGGGGCCUGUCCUGAAAAUAUAUAUAAGCCGUAAAGCACUGUACACAGGAAAGUUAUUAUCCUCAUGAUCUUCUUAAUCUGGACGAAUUAUUUCUGAAUUCAGAAUCCAGCCUGUACACAGCUUCAUCACAAUGUUGUUCUGUCUUUGCAACUCAACGCAAUGCAGAUUAUUCAGCUAUCUCAAUUACUCGAGUGGGAUCAUAUUAAAUCUCUAAGGUUCAAUUUGCAUAGAUGAUGCUGCUUUCUCCAGCUUAAAAUAUCUGUGUGUCUCCGAUGGCUCUGUGUCCUAGUUUACCUUAGUAUUUUACUUUGCAGAGAUUAGGAAACCUGAUCACAUAUUUUAUUGUGAAAAAUUUCUAAUGCACAAAAUUGGGAAUAAAGAGUAUGGUGGACACUUACAUAUUCAUCACCCAUAUUUGGUGGUAGUUGAUAUGUUGCUGCUCCCCUUAAGCUACCCAUUUAUACAAUUUUUGUUGAAAGCAUUAAAAAAUGUCUUGUACUACCGUUUUAUUUUAUUCCUACAUCCUUCAGGAAUACAUAAUUAUUUUAUUCCUACGUAUUCCUGCAUCUUUAAAAACUGAACAUUUUCUUUUAUAAUCUCGAUGCCGUUUGCACACCUAAAAAUUAAUAUUACUUGCAUAAUAGAAAUUUCUGUGUUGUUUAAAAAUGUUUUCUGGCUUGUUCAAUUGAGAUGCCGUGUCUUGGCCACUUCACGCGGUGAUGAUAAAGUACCAUAGACUGGGUGGCUUACAUAACAAGCAUUGAUUUCUCACAGCUCUGGAGCCUGGGAUGUCCAGGAUCAAGAUGCCAGGAGACUCGGUGUCAGGCUGCCUUAC